GAUGAACGCUGGCGGCAGGCUUAACACAUGCAAGUCGAGCGGGGGAAGGUAGCUUGCUACCGGACCUAGCGGCGGACGGGUGAGUAAUGCUUAGGAAUCUGCCUAUUAGUGGGGGACAACAUCUCGAAAGGGAUGCUAAUACCGCAUACGUCCUACGGGAGAAAGCAGGGGAUCUUCGGACCUUGCGCUAAUAGAUGAGCCUAAGUCGGAUUAGCUAGUUGGUGGGGUAAAGGCCUACCAAGGCGACGAUCUGUAGCGGGUCUGAGAGGAUGAUCCGCCACACUGGGACUGAGACACGGCCCAGACUCCUACGGGAGGCAGCAGUGGGGAAUAUUGGACAAUGGGGGGAACCCUGAUCCAGCCAUGCCGCGUGUGUGAAGAAGGCCUUAUGGUUGUAAAGCACUUUAAGCGAGGAGGAGGCUACUUUAGUUAAUACCUAGAGAUAGUGGACGUUACUCGCAGAAUAAGCACCGGCUAACUCUGUGCCAGCCGCCGCGGUAA
This 501-nucleotide ribosomal RNA is filed under the name uncultured bacterium. RNAcentral's name for it is "partial 16S ribosomal RNA". It matches the Rfam family "Bacterial small subunit ribosomal RNA", at positions 28 to 523 of the family's 1533-position model. The record is from RNAcentral.